RNAcentral lists this ribosomal RNA (604 nucleotides) under Escherichia coli. RNAcentral's name for it is "partial 23S ribosomal RNA". It matches the Rfam family "Bacterial large subunit ribosomal RNA", at positions 1273 to 1862 of the family's 2925-position model. Lineage: Bacteria; Pseudomonadati; Pseudomonadota; Gammaproteobacteria; Enterobacterales; Enterobacteriaceae. The record is from RNAcentral.
CUGGAGGUAUCAGAAGUGCGAAUGCUGACAUAAGUAACGAUAAAGCGGGUGAAAAGCCCGCUCGCCGGAAGACCAAGGGUUCCUGUCCAACGUUAAUCGGGGCAGGGUGAGUCGACCCCUAAGGCGAGGCCGAAAGGCGUAGUCGAUGGGAAACAGGUUAAUAUUCCUGUACUUGGUGUUACUGCGAAGGGGGGACGGAGAAGGCUAUGUUGGCCGGGCGACGGUUGUCCCGGUUUAAGCGUGUAGGCUGGUUUUCCAGGCAAAUCCGGAAAAUCAAGGCUGAGGCGUGAUGACGAGGCACUACGGUGCUGAAGCAACAAAUGCCCUGCUUCCAGGAAAAGCCUCUAAGCAUCAGGUAACAUCAAAUCGUACCCCAAACCGACACAGGUGGUCAGGUAGAGAAUACCAAGGCGCUUGAGAGAACUCGGGUGAAGGAACUAGGCAAAAUGGUGCCGUAACUUCGGGAGAAGGCACGCUGAUAUGUAGGUGAAGUCCCUCGCGGAUGGAGCUGAAAUCAGUCGAAGAUACCAGCUGGCUGCAACUGUUUAUUAAAAACACAGCACUGUGCAAACACGAAAGUGGACGUAUACGGUGUGACGCCUGC